This 87-nucleotide microRNA precursor is filed under the name Ornithorhynchus anatinus (platypus). RNAcentral's name for it is "microRNA oan-mir-1419e precursor". It matches the Rfam family "mir-1419 microRNA precursor family". The record is from miRBase by way of RNAcentral. Lineage: Eukaryota; Metazoa; Chordata; Mammalia; Monotremata; Ornithorhynchidae.
GGGCAGAUUGAUGGUGUCACACACAAUGCUGGGAGACGUCAUCACGUGCUACCUCCGGUGAUGUCAGCACCCAGCACCAUGAUGUCC